GACGAACGCUGGCGGCGUGCUUAACACAUGCAAGUCGAACGGAAAGGCCCUGCUUUUGUGGGGUGCUCUAGUGGCGAACGGGUGAGUGACACGUGAGUAACCUGCCCUUGACUUUGGGAUAACUUCAGGAAACUGGGGCUAAUACCGGAUAGGAGCUCCUGCUGCAUGGUGGGGGUUGGAAAGUUUCGGCGGUUGGGGAUGGACUCGCGGCUUAUCAGCUUGUUGGUGGGGUAGUGGCUUACCAAGGCUUUGACGGGUAGCCGGCCUGAGAGGGUGACCGGCCACAUGGGGACUGAGAUACGGCCCAGACUCCUACGGGAGGCAGCAGUGGGGAAUAUUGCACAAUGGGCGGAAGCCUGAUGCAGCAACGCCGCGUGCGGGAUGAAGGCCUUCGGGUUGUAAACCGCUUUAGCCUGUGACGAAGCGUGAGUGACGGUAAUGGGUAAAGAAGCACCGGCUAACUACGUG
This 468-nucleotide ribosomal RNA is filed under the name uncultured bacterium. Its description in RNAcentral is "partial 16S ribosomal RNA". It matches the Rfam family "Bacterial small subunit ribosomal RNA", at positions 28 to 507 of the family's 1533-position model. The record is from RNAcentral.